AAUUACCCACUCCNGGCACGGGGAGGUAGUGACGAAAAAUAACAAUACGGGACUCUUUUGAGACCCCGUAAUUGGAAUGAGUACACUCUAAAUCCUUUAA
Molecule: ribosomal RNA, 100 nt
Filed under: Aphonopelma chalcodes
Lineage: Eukaryota; Metazoa; Arthropoda; Arachnida; Araneae; Theraphosidae
Rfam family: Eukaryotic small subunit ribosomal RNA
Source: RNAcentral